RNAcentral lists this ribosomal RNA (398 nucleotides) under uncultured bacterium. RNAcentral's name for it is "bacterial SSU rRNA". It matches the Rfam family "Bacterial small subunit ribosomal RNA", at positions 29 to 403 of the family's 1533-position model. The record is from RNAcentral.
AGCGAACACUGGCGGCGUGCUUAACACAUGCAAGUCGAGCGAAGGUGUUUCAAGGGUAACCUUGAGAUACACUUAGCGGCGGACGGGUGAGUAAUACGUGGAUAACUUACCUCUAGGCCUGGGAUAACCCCGGGAAACUGGGGCUAAUACCUGAUAAGACCACAUUGUCUACGGACAAAGGGGUAAAAGGUGGCUGUGCAAACAGCUAUCGCCAAAAGAUAGGUUCACGUCCCAUCAGGCAGUUGGUGAGGUAAUGGCUCACCAAACCAAAGACGGGUAGCCGGCCUUGGCGGGUGAACGGCCACACGGGGACUGAGACACGGCCCCGACUCCUACGGGAGGCAGCAGUGGGGAAUAAUUGGGCAAUGGGCGCAAGCCUGACCCAGCGACGUCGCGUU